CCUACGGGAGGCAGCAGUAAGGAAUAUUGGUCAAUGGACGCAAGUCUGAACCAGCUAUGCCGCGUGAAGGAUGACGGCCCUCUGGGUUGUAAACUUCUUUUAUCUGGGACGAAAAAGCUCUUUCUAGAGCACUUGACGGUACCAGAGGAAUAAGCACCGGCUAACUCCGUGCCAGCAGCCGCGGUAAUACGGAGGGUGCAAGCCGUUAUCCGGAUUUACUGGGUUUAAAGGGUGCGUAGGUGGGCAGGUAAGUCAGUGGUGAAAUCUCCGAGCUUAACUCGGAAACUGCCAUUGAUACUAUCUGUCUUGAAUUAUCUGGAGGUGAGCGGAAUAUGUCAUGUAGCGGUGAAAUGCUUAGAUAUGACAUAGAACACCAAUUGCGAAGGCAGCUCACUACGGAUAUAUUGACACUGAGGCACGAAAGCGUGGGGAUCAAACAGGAUUAGAUACCCUGGUAGUCCACGCCCUAAACGAUGGAUACUCGACAUCAGCGAUACACUGUUGGUGUNUGAGACGAAGACAUUAAGUUAUCCCACCCGUCGGGAAGGUACGAGUCGCGAAGAGUUAGUAAACGUUAAAAGGUAAAGUUAGUACGGACGUAGAGGACGUUGCCGACGGACGACGACGACGGGGAGGUAGG
Molecule: ribosomal RNA, 640 nt
Filed under: uncultured bacterium
Lineage: Bacteria
Description: bacterial SSU rRNA
Rfam family: Bacterial small subunit ribosomal RNA (bases 1-537)
Source: RNAcentral